UGUGGGGCGGACUACCAUGCAGUCGAGCGGAUGAAGGGAGCUUGCUCCUGGAUUCAGCGGCGGACGGGUGAGUAAUGCCUAGGAAUCUGCCUGGUAGUGGGGGAUAACGUCCGGAAACGGGCGCUAAUACCGCAUACGUCCUGAGGGAGAAAGUGGGGGAUCUUCGGACCUCACGCUAUCAGAUGAGCCUAGGUCGGAUUAACUAGUUGGUGGGGUAAAGGCCUACCAAGGCGACGAUCCGUAACUGGUCUGAGAGGAUGAUCAGUCACACUGGAACUGAGACACGGUCCAGACUCCUACGGGAGGCAGCAGUGGGGAAUAUUGGACAAUGGGCGAAAGCCUGAUCCAGCCAUGCCGCGUGUGUGAAGAAGGUCUUCGGAUUGUAAAGCACUUUAAGUUGGGAGGAAGGGCAGUAAGUUAAUACCUUGCUGUUUUGACGUUACCAACAGAAUAAGCACCGGCUAACUUCGUGCCAGCAC
Molecule: ribosomal RNA, 479 nt
Filed under: Pseudomonas sp. Hu79A
Lineage: Bacteria; Pseudomonadati; Pseudomonadota; Gammaproteobacteria; Pseudomonadales; Pseudomonadaceae
Description: bacterial SSU rRNA
Rfam family: Bacterial small subunit ribosomal RNA
Source: RNAcentral